This 814-nucleotide ribosomal RNA is filed under the name Patescibacteria group bacterium. Its description in RNAcentral is "partial 23S ribosomal RNA". It matches the Rfam family "Bacterial large subunit ribosomal RNA", at positions 2472 to 2925 of the family's 2925-position model. The record is from RNAcentral.
GGAUAACAGGCUAGUUCCGCCUAAGAGUUCAUAUCGACGGCGGAGUUCGGCACCUCGAUGUCGGCUCACCACAUCCUGGGGGUGGAGAAGCUCCCAAAGGUUUGGCUGUUCGCCAAUUAAAGUGGUACGCGAGCUGGGUUCAGACCGUGAAGCAGCAAAGUCAAAGGUCAAAAAUCAAAAGUUCAAAACUGAAACUCAAGACCGGGUCAGUCGCGAUUACUUUUGCAUUUUGCCCUUCGAGUUUUUACUUUGCGAUUUCACAGUCUGAAUCCCGAGGUUUGGAUGAAUGGUUCCCACCAUUCAAAUGUAACUUGUUCACGGCGGUCCCAAGAAGAAAUUCUCGGUGACACAGUUAACUUAUAUCGGUGAAGCCCGGAUCACAGGAAUGUGACCGAGGUAACACCUAGGGAAUAUCCGAUGUAACGUCGGGUUGCCCGUAGAGACUAAACGUUAACUAUCCUCCCGCGAAAGCGAAGGGUAAUCAUAUAGUCCAUUCCGCAGAGCAAUCUGCGAAAAGAAGCGUGAGACAGGUUGGUCUCCUAUCUACUGCAGGCGUUGAUACUUGAGGGGAAUUGACUCUAGUACGAGAGGACCGAGUUGAACGAACCUCUGGUCUACGAGCUGUCCUGCCAAGGGCACCGCUCGGUAGCUAUGUUCGGAUCGGAUAAGCGCUGAAAGCAUAUAAGCGCGAAGCCGGCCCCAAGAUUAGGUAUCGUUUGAGACCCGUGAGAGAUGAUCACGUUGAUAGGCGUUAGGUGUACGUGCCGUAAGGCAUUGAGCCGAGACGUACUAAUCCGUCGAUCCUAUUAGGAAC